This 505-nucleotide ribosomal RNA is filed under the name uncultured bacterium. Its description in RNAcentral is "partial 16S ribosomal RNA". It matches the Rfam family "Bacterial small subunit ribosomal RNA", at positions 28 to 507 of the family's 1533-position model. The record is from RNAcentral.
GACGAACGCUGGCGGCGUGCCUAAUACAUGCAAGUAGAACGCACAGUUUAUACCGUAGCUUGCUACACCAUAGACUGUGAGUUGCGAACGGGUGAGUAACGCGUAGGUAACCUGCCUGGUAGCGGGGGAUAACUAUUGGAAACGAUAGCUAAUACCGCAUAAUAUUAAUUAUUGCAUGAUAAUUAAUUGAAAGGUGCAAUUGCACCACUACCAGAUGGACCUGCGUUGUAUUAGCUAGUAGGUGAGGUAACGGCUCACCUAGGCGACGAUACAUAGCCGACCAUAGAGGGUGAUCGGCCACACUGGGACUGAGACACGGCCCAGACUCCUACGGGAGGCAGCAGUAGGGAAUCUUCGGCAAUGGACGAAAGUCUGACCGAGCAACGCCGCGUGAGUGAAGAAGGUUUUCGGAUCGUAAAGCUCGGUUGUAAGAGAAGAACGGGUGUGAGAGUGGAAAGUUCACACUGUGACGGUAUCUUACCAGAAAGGGACGGCUAACUACGUG